UGCGGCUUAAUUUGACUCAACACGGGAAACCUCACCCGGCCCGGACACGGACAGGAUUGACAGAUUGAUAGCUCUUUCUCGAUUCCGUGGGUGGUGGUGCAUGGCCGUUCUUAGUUGGUGGAGCGAUUUGUCUGGUUAAUUCCGAUAACGAACGAGACUCUGGCAUGCUAACUAGUUACGCGACCCCCGAGCGGUCGGCGUCCCCCAACUUCUUAGAGGGACAAGUGGCGUUCAGCCACCCGAGAUUGAGCAAUAACAGGUCUGUGAUGCCCUUAGAUGUCCGGGGCUGCACGCGCGCUACACUGACUGGCUCAGCGUGUGCCUACCCUACGCCGGCAGGCGCGGGUAACCCGUUGAACCCCAUUCGUGAUGGGGAUCGGGGAUUGCAAUUAUUCCCCAUGAACGAGGAAUUCCCAGUAAGUGCGGGUCAUAAGCUUGCGUUGAUUAAGUCCCUGCCCUUUGUACACACCGCCCGUCGCUACUACCGAUUGGAUGGUUUAGUGAGGCCCUCGGAUCGGCCCCGCCGGGGUCGGCCCACGGCCCUGGCGGAGCGCUGAGAAGACGGUCGAAC
Molecule: ribosomal RNA, 571 nt
Filed under: Odocoileus virginianus (white-tailed deer)
Lineage: Eukaryota; Metazoa; Chordata; Mammalia; Artiodactyla; Cervidae
Description: SSU rRNA
Rfam family: Eukaryotic small subunit ribosomal RNA
Source: RNAcentral